Long non-coding RNA from Ictidomys tridecemlineatus (thirteen-lined ground squirrel), 1327 nucleotides. RefSeq lists it as uncharacterized. The record is from RefSeq and is a predicted model, not a curated record. Lineage: Eukaryota; Metazoa; Chordata; Mammalia; Rodentia; Sciuridae.
UGCAGAUGGGAGGAGAAAGGAGAAGCUUCCCUGCACCAUCGAGUUUUGUCUUUCACUUUGUCUCCAUUAGGAACCUACUCUGUGGUUCCUGACCUUCUGUGUCCCAACUGUGCUUAUAUUUCACAGGUGGUAUGUCAGCUAUGGAUGCUGUGAUGGAUGAGGAAAGGAGCUCCUGCCCCCCACAAAGAUGAUAAUACCCUGAAAUGACCUGCCUACAGCUCCUCAUGUGCUCCAUCAAUCAUUAUAGACGAGAUAUUAUUCCUGGAGACACCACUGAAGACCCAAAGCGUGGUUGAACCUCUGGGAACACCCAGAGAAGCCUAACUUUGUCCCUACCCUCAAGGAAUUUAGCAUCUAGGAGUUUAGGUGGUGUUUAUUUUCCUUGGGGUUCACCAUGGGCACAGGAGAAAGGUAGUCUUGGAAAUGCCUUCCUUGGUGUCAGCUUGAGCAAAAUAACACCCCGGUGACAUUUGCUGAUGACUGGAGAUGUUUGGUCAGCCAGGUAUCAUACCGUACCGGGUGUGAUCAUGCGCGCACUGCCCUUGGUAGGCUGUGUUGUACUUGUAUGUCUGCAAGGGCUGAGGAAGAGCGGGGGCAUUAACAGUGAGCCUCUAUGUGCCACUAUGGGCCAGCACGUGGCAAGAGCUCCACAGGUGUAGAUCUUCCUCAUAAACAGUGCAGUGGCAGGCGGCACGGCUCCCCCUCUUUGGGGGAGGACGAACUCCAAGGUGGGCUGAGCCUCCUGGCUUUGGCAGCUGGAGGUGACAGUGCCCUGUGAACACGUGGGGGAAGAAAUAAGGCAGCACAGCAGGUGCCGGCUUGUGAAAGACCUGGCACUGGCUAAGGAGUGGGGCUUUCCCCUGGAAGGCACAGGGUGCCAUUGAGGGACAACAGCAAGAGCCAUCUGAUUAGAUCUGGCAGCUGGGUGAGGGCUGGGGACAACAGAAUGAGGUGGAAAAGAGGGCUCUGGAAGGGCAGAUCUGUUAUCCCUCCUUUCUCCCCACACAUGCAGAAUUACCGUCUCCAAAGUCAAAACUGGCAGUUUAAUAACCCAUUUAAAAAAUUUGAGACCCAAUUUGAGACCCAAGUCAGUAGCUCCCAUUUUAAUUUAGAUAAUCAAAAGUCGGCUACAUUGAGCCAUUUGUGCUUUGGGUACAGCCCUGGCAGGUGGUUUUAGACAGACAAGCUCAAAAAGAUGUGCCAUUGAAAAACCAGCCUCUACCUCAGAGCAAAGCCUGUCCAAGGAAAGGACAUGACCUUUGUCCUUGAAAGACCCACAGAGCACUCCUAGGCACAUUCCCACCCUGCUAAAUUGUUUAUCUACAAA